RNAcentral lists this ribosomal RNA (344 nucleotides) under uncultured bacterium. RNAcentral's name for it is "bacterial SSU rRNA". It matches the Rfam family "Bacterial small subunit ribosomal RNA", at positions 8 to 334 of the family's 1533-position model. The record is from RNAcentral.
AGAGUUUGAUUAUGGCUCAGGAUGAACGCUGGCGGCGUGCCUAACACAUGCAAGUCGAGCGAAGCGAUUCAGAGGAAGUUUUCGGAUGGAAUCCGAAUUGACUGAGCGGCGGACGGGUGAGUAACGCGUGGGUAACCUGCCUCAUACAGGGGGAUAACAGUUAGAAAUGACUGCUAAUACCGCAUAAGCGCACGUGACCGCAUGGUCGAGUGUGAAAAACUCCGGUGGUAUGAGAUGGACCCGCGUCUGAUUAGGUAGUUGGUGGGGUAACGGCCUACCAAGCCGACGAUCAGUAGCCGACCUGAGAGGGUGACCGGCCACAUUGGGACUGAGACACGGCCCAA